RNAcentral lists this ribosomal RNA (248 nucleotides) under uncultured soil bacterium. Its description in RNAcentral is "partial 16S ribosomal RNA". It matches the Rfam family "Bacterial small subunit ribosomal RNA", at positions 26 to 276 of the family's 1533-position model. The record is from RNAcentral.
AGAUUGAACGCUGGCGGCAGGCCUAACACAUGCAAGUCGAGCGGUAGAGAGGUGCUUGCACCUCUUGAGAGCGGCGGACGGGUGAGUAAUGCCUAGGAAUCUGCCUAGUGGUGGGGGAUAACGUUCGGAAACGGACGCUAAUACCGCAUACGUCCUACGGGAGAAAGCGGGGGACCUUCGGGCCUCGCGCCAUUAGAUGAGCCUAGGUCGGAUUAGCUAGUUGGUGAGGUAAUGGCUCACCAAGGCGA